GCGUGCGCGUCGGCGGCGGCGGCCGUCGUCACGGAGGUGGUGGCGCGGGACCCGGAGGACAAGUGCGUGUACACGGUGUACGUGCGGACGGGGUCCAUCUGGAAGGGUGGGACGGACUCCAAGAUCGGGGUGACGCUGGUGGGCGCCGACGGGUCGGGCAUCCGGAUCCCGGACCUGGAGGGGUGGGGCGGCCUCAUGGGCGCCGGCCACGACUACUACGAGCGGGGCAACCUCGACAUCUUCAGCGGCCGGGGGCCCUGCAUGCGCGCCGCGCCCUGCGCCAUGAACCUCACCUCCGACGGCACCGGCCCGCACCACGGCUGGUACUGCAACUACGUCGAGGUCACGUCCACGGGGCCGCACCUGGGAUGCGCACAGCAGCUCUUCACCGUCGAGCAGUGGCUCGCCACCGACGCCCCGCCCUACCGCCUCUACAAGACCGUCGACAAGUGCCACGAGAAGCGCUCGGCGGCGGCUACUGCCGGGGACGACGUCGAGGCCGCUGCCACCGC
RNAcentral lists this long non-coding RNA (512 nucleotides) under Setaria italica (foxtail millet). RNAcentral's name for it is "long non-coding RNA (SITA_LNC005277)". The record is from RNAcentral. Lineage: Eukaryota; Viridiplantae; Streptophyta; Magnoliopsida; Poales; Poaceae.